Long non-coding RNA from Notothenia coriiceps (black rockcod), 300 nucleotides. RefSeq lists it as uncharacterized. The record is from RefSeq and is a predicted model, not a curated record. The transcript has 4 exons. NCBI's taxonomy places the organism in Eukaryota, Metazoa, Chordata, Actinopteri, Perciformes, Nototheniidae.
AGUGUCGGCUGAUAAACUGGCUGUCAAUUAGCGGGGAACUUUCACCGGUGAGCAGCUACACGCAGCACAAGUUGUUGAGAAGAUAAACGAUGGAGUGGCGCCAGCAGACCAGUGUCAGCUGUGCAGACGCCUUCAACGAGGCUCAACGCUGGAUUCAGGAAGUCACUGGAAAAUUGUUUGGUUGCAAUGACUUCCGUGCUGCCUUAGAGAACGGAGUCCUGCUUUGCGACUUGAUUAACCGGUUGAAACCCGGCAUCAUUAAGAGAGUAAACAGGCUUUCUACUCCCAUUGCUGGUCUGG